Long non-coding RNA from Raphanus sativus (radish), 4848 nucleotides. RefSeq lists it as uncharacterized. NCBI's taxonomy places the organism in Eukaryota, Viridiplantae, Streptophyta, Magnoliopsida, Brassicales, Brassicaceae. The record is from RefSeq and is a predicted model, not a curated record. The transcript has 3 exons.
CUCUCUUCUCUUGUCUUUUCUUUCUUUACUUUAUAACACGUUAUCAGCACGAAUCUCUAAUAUUGAGUUAAUGAAGCUUUAGUCGAUGACAUCGAUUCUCCCUCAUCCGAGUUGAGGGCAUGUUCUGUUUAAGAAUUAUUACAUAUUGGAUUUAAAGGUCUUCGUAUGAAGAAAAAAAAAAGGUAUAAGGAUUAUAUAGAAACGUGUAUAAGGACUGUAUUAUUACAUAUUGGAAUUAUUACAUAUUAGAAUUGUUUAAGUUUAUAAGUGUGACUUUAAUUGCUGAACGAAUCUACUGAUAUGGUAUUUUUCUUUUUGGUUUGGCAAAUCACUAGUCUGAAUUAGUUUGAUAAGUCAUUGGUUAUGUCUAUCUUGCUUUUACUAAGAAUAUAAUUGUAGAUGGAUAUAUAGUUUAUCAUCGUGAUGCUAGAACGCAUAUGCUUAUUCAAACGUACUCGUUAUUACGAUUACUGCAUACGAAAUAUUGAUACAUGUUUCAUUCUCUUAAUAUGUUUUGAUAAAACAUGCUUUAUGGGUUAUUUUUUAUUGCUUUAAAUUAUCAAACGAGUGGUUGUAUUGUUCUAUCAAGUUAGUGUUAUGAUUGAUAUUAAAUAUUAAUGUUCACUAACAUAACAGCCAUGUUUCCAUGAGCAAUUUAUUUUAAUGAUUCAGGAUUAUAUAUGUUUUUGUGAAAGACAAAAUUUUAGACGCGAUUCUAACCACUUGCGAAACAUGAAGUGUUUCUAAUAUGUCAGGUCUACAAUCUCCAAUUCAUGUCAUCCUCGUUGAGAUAAGUUCUAUUGAUCAUGCUCAGUAUACAUUCAUGUUAUUAAAUUUGAUUAGAUGUAUUAAUUUGCACAUGACAUCUGCUAUAUAUAUAUAUGUAUAUAUAUUUUUUUUUUUGUUUAGAAAAUUGAUUGAAAAGUAAUCAAUAUAAAGAUGAUUAAUAGUAUGAUAGUACGAUUUAAUAAAUGUUAUAAUAGUAAACAAAAAAAAAGAAGGAUGAAUAGGAUUUAUCACUCAUAGUAAAAUGUUAAUAGUAAUAUAAUCUGAUAUAUAUACUGAUAUACAUAUGUUAUAUUUUAUUAUCAUUGUAUAUAUAAGAGUAUUAAGUUUAAGGUUUGACCUUAAAAGAUCCAUACGUCUUGGAAAAUAAUCUAAAAAGGUAUUAUCACCUGAAUGUGAUUACCUAAAGCUCAUUAUGCAUUUUACAAGACCUGAAGUCUGUAAAUAAAUCUCAACUAUAUUAGAUGUUAAGUUUAAAAGUAAAAUUUCUCGAAGAAACUUUUACACAAACAAUGUGUCCAGUAGACAUAUGAUUGAGAAAAGAAAUUAAAAAAGUUUAUAUUAUAUUUUGUCUCUUUGAGACUGAUAAAAAUAAUGAGCUAUUGAUAUAAUCACGUCUAAUUGAUUAUGAACCAUUCUCCUGAAGAGAAAUAUGACAUUGAAAAAAAAAAAUCCACAAAAUAGUAUUGGUCAAGAAAGUGAUCAUAGAAGUGGUUGUAGACGUGAAUGUGGAUAUAAAUAAGGUCAAGACCAAUGAGUUUCUUUUUAGAACUCAAAUUCUCACUUGAAGUUGAUAAAAUAAAGAUGGUAAUAAAGAAUAGAUAAAGAUGAAAGAAAAUUAUUGUGAGUACAAUACAAGUAGUAUAAAGCUUGUAGAAAGUUCAAGAAGAGGAUAUAUAUGAAUGCUCCUGAAGAGUACAUAAUAUUAUUGCACAUAAGAAUGCAAUUUAAAAUCCUUAAUGUAUUAUAUUCUUAUAAGUCUCAAAAGUAAGAAGGAUCUAAGAAAGAGUACAUGGCCCAUGUAAGGCAUCUUGUUGAUUCUAAUAUGAGAUUCAAUCGAGAUUGAUAAACCUGUAGUGAUAUCAUCUCGAGGGGAAGAGUUAAAGAAUCUCAUAUUUUAUAAUAAGUGAAACAUCCAGAAGAUUAUGUUUACACUAAAAGUUAGAUUGAUGAAUCUUUCUCAAAGUAAAUCUAUGAAAUUUUGAGACAAGUUAUGUUUAGAUACUAAGCAGAGGAAUUCACUUCCAAAAAUAUUUCUCAAGGCAGUAAAACCAUUUUAGAAAAAGUAUCUACAUCCUCUUAUAUAUUGUACUACACAAAGAUUAGUGUAAUGAAGAUAUAUAUAGAGUAAACCAGAAGUUUACAAAAUACUUGGCAUGAACCAGUUAGACCAUUUUGGUUCAGUGAUGAUGCGAAAUGAUACAUAAAGAUUUAUGUGAAUAUUCAUUGAAGAACCAGAAGAUUCUUGUGAAUAAUUUCACAAAUGUUUCUUGCUCAUAAGAUAAAAUGAAAAUACGGUUUUCACCAGCCAAAUGAAGUUAUUGGCAUGAAUAAAGGAGAUGUUGGUGGACUGAUCAUCCACUAUGCAUCUUUAUUGGUGAAUUCACGUCUAAGUCUUUGACGACUAUAAAAAAAAUUCACUGGGAUAAGUGUUAAAUAUUUUGAGCAACAUUAAUUUGCAUCAAGCCAAAAAGUAAUCAUUAAUUCUCCCCAUCAUUGGUAUUGGGUCAGAAACCAACCAUUUUCAUCUAAGAAUGUUGGAUGGCGAUAUACAUUCCAGAUGCUCCACCACAGAGCUUAAAAUAAGAUGAGUUUUCAAAUGAGGUUGGUAAUAUAUGUUGGAUAUGAAUCUCCAUUGAUACUUAAGCAUCUAUAGUCAUCCCCGAAGGAUAUAAACAAGGCUCGAUAUGAAUGCUAAAUACUGAAUUAGUAUUUCCAACAUAAGGAGGAGAAAAUAAAAAGCUGGAGAAGAAAACAAGUUGAAUGGAAUUAUCAUUGAUCCUCAGACUAAAGAAAAAGUGAAUCAGAAAUCUAAAAGAUAAUUCUAUAGCUUAGUAAAUCAGUUGCCAGAAGCAACUAAUGACCCUAAUAUAGUGUGACCAAGUCACAUAUACCAGCUAUAAAUGCUCUAAAUAAGAAUUGAUGUUCCAGAAGAAUAAUAUCAAACUGCCAGUUACGCCUGAAGCGUAGUAGACAUAUUGGUUCCAAAGAUAAAAAUCCUCGUAAACGAAAAGGAGCAUACAUUAAUAAUGGUCAAGAGGAAUAAGAGUUUUUGAAUGAUCUCCAGAAGAGACAUUAAACAUGACUGAAAGAAAUUCAGGUACCUGAGACAACAAAGAGAUCUCAAUAAAUUAUGUCAUGUAUGAAAUAAAAUGGAACCGAUAAGAAAAUCGACGUCGAUAAUAUUUAUGCAUGCAAAGUAGCAGUUGAUAUGAUGAAUAAGAAAGAGGAUCAUGAAAUAAAGUCUAUUGAAAAGUGUACACACAAAAAUGAUUGGCCAAAUCAUAAAGAAGUAAUAGACAAAAGAUACAAACUCUUGUUAAAGAGAGAUGUAUUUGGACCAGUAGUCCAUACACUAGAAGGUGUAAAAUAAAUGGGAUAGAAAUGUGGUUGCACCAAAGUAAGAUCAAUAUGAAAUUGAUUGUGAAGAGACAUAGUCUCAUAUGGUAGAUGCAACUACUUUCAAGUUUCUUACUAGUCUGGCAAUAAAGGAAGAACUUGAACUAUACAACCCAUUGGAAACUGAUAAUCCCUAAGAGAUAUAAUCCUUGAAGGAUUGAUGAUAUCAAAAUUAUAUUCCCAAGAACUCUAGCUAUUCAAUCGAAAUAUGUUUUAUGGGAUAUGUGAAAUAUUAGAAGUUAAUCAGUACAUCCAUUUGUAUUUAUCAAGAAAUUAUGAAUCAAUAGAAUCAUUGAUUUGAAUAAAAUCCAAACUCUUGAAGAGUUAUAACAAAUUGUUUGUUUGGAAGAAAGAUCUUGAAAAGACUACAUUGUUAUGUGUUCCAAACUAGACAUCUAGAAUAAGAGAUGUUAUCUUAAAAGAUCUUUAAAUAUUUUAAGAUGAUCAUAUAUAUGACUGGUCCUGAAGUACCAUACUUAAAACAAGCUAUGUUUUACAUAUGAUAAGACUGCAAUGACUUGCAGCAGAGACCAUAGCCGUGGACAUGUGUAUGACUGAGAUCAGCACGCCCUAAGUGACAUAUAAGAUGAUCACAGAGAUAGAAAAAGAGAACCAUUAAGGCUCACGCCAAAGACCAUACAAUCAAAGGUCAUAUCCGGUUCCAUUCAAGUCCAAUCAUCCAUGAGAGAUGAAUAAUAUGCCAACCCAAAACAUGAUAUGGUUUUGAGGUAUCAACUAUCAUUAUGCAUAGUUAUAGCAAAUGGUAAAGAUGGUCAUGAGACGCCAUCAAAGAAAAGUUGGACUGCGAUGUUUAAGUAAUAAGAUUACACUGUGGGACUGAAAUGUAAGCACGAGCUCUUAUGAUUGCAUCAGUGGAUAAAAGGGAAUCAUAAUGGUCCAAGGUUUUAACGAGGCAACAAAGAACACACAAAUGAUACACACCAGAAAGGAGUAUUUGAAACUCUAAUGCUGAUUUAAAGUCUUUGAAAGCAAGAGAAUCGAAGAAAAUGAUCAAGUCAUAGGAGGACUCAAGCACUGCAGAAGAACGGUGAUAUUCGUGUCCUACAAAUUGGCUGAUUUAUUCAUCAAGGCGGUACUCUCAGCUACUUUCGAGAAGUUAGUUCACCUGAUCAGAUUACAUCAUCUCAAAGAUCUCGACGAAUGUACACAUGAGGGGAAGUCAUUACGCGCUGCACUCUUUUUCCCUUAACCAUGGUUUUUCCCAUUGGGUUUUCCUGGUGAGGUUUUUAACGAGGCAGCAUCUACGGCGUUUUAAAAGCACUUCGACAUAUUGGACAUCAAGGGGAAGUGUUAUAAAUAUUGUAGUGAUGUCCAUAUGGAAAGUCCUAGAUAUACUUGUUCCCCACUCCAAGUUAAGCUUUGUCUCCAAGCUAUUGUAUCAUAUAUAAGGAGGUCAUUAUUCAUGGAAUAAGAUACACCAAU